RNAcentral lists this ribosomal RNA (254 nucleotides) under uncultured prokaryote. Its description in RNAcentral is "partial 16S ribosomal RNA". It matches the Rfam family "Bacterial small subunit ribosomal RNA", at positions 524 to 777 of the family's 1533-position model. The record is from RNAcentral.
UACGGAGGAUGCAAGCGUUAUCCGGAUUUAUUGGGUUUAAAGGGUGCGCAGGCGGAAAGAUAAGUCAGUGGUGAAAAACUGCCGCUUAACGGUAGUCUUGCCAUUGAUACUGUUUUUCUUGAGUAUGGAUGAGGUAGGCGGAAUGUGCAGUGUAGCGGUGAAAUGCAUAGAUAUUGCACGGAACACCAAUUGCGUAGGCAGCUUACUGAGCCGACACUGACGCUGAGGCACGAAAGCGUGGGGAUCAAACAGGA